UUGUUUAACAAUUCUCUAGGCAUCUCUAAUGGAAUAAAACUAAGAGGACCACCGAGUUCAGUUUCCAGAAGCUUCGUACGUAGCUUUCUCCACGUUUUAGAUAGUGUUAUGUA
This 113-nucleotide small RNA is filed under the name Arabidopsis thaliana (thale cress). RNAcentral describes it as "ATSL217470". Lineage: Eukaryota; Viridiplantae; Streptophyta; Magnoliopsida; Brassicales; Brassicaceae. The record is from RNAcentral.